AUUGAACGCUGGCGGCAUGCCUUACACAUGCAAGUCGAACGGCAGCACGGGAGCAAUCCUGGUGGCGAGUGGCGAACGGGUGAGUAAUAUAUCGGAACGUGCCCAGUCGUGGGGGAUAACGCAGCGAAAGCUGUUCUAAUACCGCAUACGAUCUACGGAUGAAAGCGGGGGAUCGCAAGACCUCGCGCGAUUGGAGCGGCCGAUAUCAGAUUAGCUAGGUGGUGGGGUAAAGGCCCACCAAGGCGACGAUCUGUAGCUGGUCUGAGAGGACGACCAGCCACACUGGAACUGAGACACGGUCCAGACUCCUACGGGAGGCAGCAGUGGGGAAUUUUGGGCAAUGGGCGCAAGCCUGAUCCAGCAAUGCCGCGUGCAGGAUGAAGGCCUUCGGGUUGUAAACUGCUUUUGUACGGAACGAAACGGCCCUUUCUAAUACAGGGGGCUAAUGACGGUACCGUAAGAAUAAGCACCGGCUAACUACGUGCCAGCCGCCGCGGUAA
RNAcentral lists this ribosomal RNA (500 nucleotides) under uncultured bacterium. RNAcentral describes it as "partial 16S ribosomal RNA". It matches the Rfam family "Bacterial small subunit ribosomal RNA", at positions 30 to 523 of the family's 1533-position model. The record is from RNAcentral.